Molecule: ribosomal RNA, 60 nt
Filed under: Caloplaca arnoldiiconfusa
Lineage: Eukaryota; Fungi; Ascomycota; Lecanoromycetes; Teloschistales; Teloschistaceae
Description: partial 28S ribosomal RNA
Source: RNAcentral
AUUGACCUCGGAUCAGGUAGGGAUACCCGCUGAACUUAAGCAUAUCAAUAGCGGGAGGAA